GAUGAACGCUGGCUACAGGCUUAACACAUGCAAGUCGAGGGGAAACGACGGGGAAGCUUGCUUCCCCGGGCGUCGACCGGCGCACGGGUGAGUAACGCGUAUCCAACCUGCCUCUGACUGAGGGAUAACCCGUCGAAAGUCGGCCUAAUACCUCAUGGUAUCGUCUGCGGGCAUCCAACGACGAUUAAAGAUUUCAUCGGUCAGGGAUGGGGAUGCGUCUGAUUAGCUUGUUGGCGGGGUAACGGCCCACCAAGGCUACGAUCAGUAGGGGUUCUGAGAGGAAGGUCCCCCACAUUGGAACUGAGACACGGUCCAAACGCCUACGGGAGGCAGCAGUGAGGAAUAUUGGUCAAUGGGCGAGAGCCUGAACCAGCCAAGUAGAGUGCAGGAAGACGGCCCUAGGGGUGGUAAACUGCUUUUAUGCGGGGAUAAAGUGAGGGACGUGUCCCUCAUUGCAGGUACCGCAUGAAUAAGGACCGGCUAAUUCCGUG
RNAcentral lists this ribosomal RNA (491 nucleotides) under uncultured bacterium. RNAcentral describes it as "partial 16S ribosomal RNA". It matches the Rfam family "Bacterial small subunit ribosomal RNA", at positions 28 to 507 of the family's 1533-position model. The record is from RNAcentral.